UACGAAGGGGGCUAGCGUUGCUCGGAAUUACUGGGCGUAAAGGGCGCGUAGGCGGAUAGUUUAGUCAGAGGUGAAAGCCCAGGGCUCAACCUUGGAACUGCCUUUGAUACUGGCUAUCUUGAGUUCGGGAGAGGUGAGUGGAAUGCCGAGUUGUAGAGGUGAAAUUCGUAGAUAUUCGGCGGAACACCAGUGGCGAAGGCGACUCACUGGCCCGAUACUGACGCUGAGGUGCGAAAGCGUGGGGAGCAAACAGG
RNAcentral lists this ribosomal RNA (254 nucleotides) under uncultured bacterium. RNAcentral describes it as "partial 16S ribosomal RNA". It matches the Rfam family "Bacterial small subunit ribosomal RNA", at positions 524 to 776 of the family's 1533-position model. The record is from RNAcentral.